RNAcentral lists this unclassified non-coding RNA (200 nucleotides) under Cosmospora sp. RNAcentral's name for it is "partial internal transcribed spacer 2". The record is from RNAcentral. Lineage: Eukaryota; Fungi; Ascomycota; Sordariomycetes; Hypocreales; Nectriaceae.
UUAAGUUCAGCGGGUAUUCCUACCUGAUCCGAGGUCAACCUUCAGAAGUGGGGGGGUUUAACGGCGUGGCCACGCUGCGUUCCGGUGCGAGGUGUUGCUACUACGCAGAGGAGGCUACAGCGAGACCGCCACUAGAUUUCAGGGCCGGCGCGCCGCGAGGGGCGGGCCGAUCCCCAACACCAAGCCCGGGGGGCUUGAGG